GUGUCAGCCGCCGCGGUAAUACAGAGGUCUCAAGCGUUGUUCGGAUUCAUUGGGCGUAAAGGGUGCGUAGGUGGCGCCGUAAGUCGGGUGUGAAAUUUCGGAGCUUAACUCCGAAACUGCAUUCGAUACUGCGGUGCUUGAGGACUGGAGAGGAGACUGGAAUUCAUGGUGUAGCAGUGAAAUGCGUAGAGAUCAUGAGGAAGACCAGUGGCGAAGGCGGGUCUCUGGACAGUUCCUGACACUGAGGCACGAAGGCCAGGGGAGCAAACGGGAUUAGAAACCCGGGUAGUCC
Molecule: ribosomal RNA, 292 nt
Filed under: uncultured bacterium
Lineage: Bacteria
Description: partial 16S ribosomal RNA
Rfam family: Bacterial small subunit ribosomal RNA
Source: RNAcentral